CAGCCGCCACGGUAAUACGAAGGGGGCUAGCGUUGUUCGGAAUUACUGGGCGUAAAGCGCACGUAGGCGGAUAUUUAAGUCAGGGGUGAAAUCCCGCAGCUCAACUGCGGAACUGCCUUUGAUACUGGGUAUCUUGAGUAUGGAAGAGGUUAGUGGAAUUGCGAGUGUAGAGGUGAAAUUCGUAGAUAUUCGCAGGAACACCAGUGGCGAAGGCGGCUAACUGGUCCAUAACUGACGCUGAGGUGCGAAAGCGUGGGGAGCAAACAGGAUUAGAUACCCGAGUAGUCCCUGUCUCUUAUAA
This 301-nucleotide ribosomal RNA is filed under the name uncultured bacterium. RNAcentral describes it as "partial 16S ribosomal RNA". It matches the Rfam family "Bacterial small subunit ribosomal RNA", at positions 509 to 809 of the family's 1533-position model. The record is from RNAcentral.